AAAUUGAAGAGUUUGAUCAUGGCUCAGAUUGAACGCUGGCGGCAGGCCUAACACAUGCAAGUCGAACGGUAACAGGAAGCAGCUUGCUGCUUUGCUGACGAGUGGCGGACGGGUGAGUAAUGUCUGGGAAACUGCCUGAUGGAGGGGGAUAACUACUGGAAACGGUGGCUAAUACCGCAUAACGUCGCAAGACCAAAGAGGGGGACCUUCGGGCCUCUUGCCAUCAGAUGUGCCCAGAUGGGAUUAGCU
Molecule: ribosomal RNA, 249 nt
Filed under: Salmonella enterica subsp. enterica serovar Infantis
Lineage: Bacteria; Pseudomonadati; Pseudomonadota; Gammaproteobacteria; Enterobacterales; Enterobacteriaceae
Also listed under: 147 other names
Description: partial 16S ribosomal RNA
Rfam family: Bacterial small subunit ribosomal RNA
Source: RNAcentral